ACUCCUACGGGAGGCAGCAGUGGGGAAUAUUGCACAAUGGGCGCAAGCCUGAUGCAGCAACGCCGCGUGAGCGAUGAAGGCCUUCGGGUCGUAAAGCUCUGUCCUCAAGGAAGAAUAAAUGACGGUACUUGAGGAGGAAGCCCGGCUAACUACGUGCCAGCAGCCGCGGUAAUACGUAGGGGGCAAGCGUUAUCCGGAAUCACUGGGGCGUAAAGGGUGCGUAGGCGGUUUUCAAGUCAGAAGUGAAAGGCUAUGGCUCAACCAUAGUAAGCUUUUGAAACUGUUAAACUUGAGUGCAGGAGAGGAAAGUGGAAUUCCUAGUGUAGAGGUGAAAUUCGUAGAUAUUAGGAGGAACACCAGUGGCGAAGGCGACUUUCUGGACUGUAACUGACGCUGAGGCACGAAAGCGUGGGGAGCGAACAGGAUUAGAUACCCUGGUAGCACAGAG
RNAcentral lists this ribosomal RNA (448 nucleotides) under uncultured bacterium. Its description in RNAcentral is "bacterial SSU rRNA". It matches the Rfam family "Bacterial small subunit ribosomal RNA", at positions 335 to 799 of the family's 1533-position model. The record is from RNAcentral.